CGACUUGCACUUGUAACAUAAACUGUUACAAGUGCAGAUCGGAUGUUUUUCAGAAUUAAAAUAUUCAAAGCAGCUUUCAAGAGGACAAGAUACUUAGCAGAUUCCAGCUAUUUCCACCACAGUUCUAAAGAGUUGUUGUUUUCUUUCACUUGUUUGGGCAUUAGACUUGAUGGGUCACCUUUUUCCAUUACUAGUGUUUUUCAGACUUUUAGGAACAGUUAGUAAUUGUAUGGGGGUGCCGCUCCUUUUUUCCUGUUCCUUGCAAUCGAAGUUCAGGCAGCUAGCUGCUUUUAAGUGUCUGGUCUGUUCGUUAUCAAUGCAAAGCUUUCAGAAAGAAUUAUUAAGAAUGCUAAGUGGUUCUCUGACAAUGGUCCUGUCGUUUGUUUGUUUUUAGCACAGCCCAUUAUUUUCCCAUCUGCAUAUAUAUAUUGGGGAAAGUAUGCUAGAUAUGAUAUCUGAAGGAAGAAGAUUUUUGAUGGUUGUAUAAUUUUGCAGACAGCAGACAUAUAUCAGGAUAAUUAAAGGCUAGAACUAGACAUAUUUAGACUAAACUUGGAAAUAAACACAAAUCCUUAACCAUGAGGGUACUAGCCUCAGGGACUGCCUACGUGAGAUUGUAGUAGAUUGUGUGUGAGUCAGUGGGAGAAGGUUUCACGGCUCUCUCUCAUUAAUCUGCAGCAGUCCAAUUAGUGCUUGGAUUGCUCUGCCUUAUAUGCAGAGGACCAGACAGGAUUGUGAUCACGGUUUAAACAGGGCUAGAGAUGGACAACUAUGAUGCUUUAGGCAUUGCUAAGGGUUGGAUUAGAUUACUCUCAAGGUCCCUUUCAACUCUACAACUCUAUGGUUCUUUCUAUGAACUCUUAGUAUCCCGGAUGAAAACAACAGUGGAGUCCUCCACAUUGUUUCCUUAUCUCAUAUUAUCUUGACAGAAACAAUAUGAAGUAUAGACUAUACAGUGGUGCCUCGCUAGACGAAUGCCCUGUAAGACGAAUUUUUUGCUUAACGAAGAGAUUUUUUGAGCGGAGGUUGCCUCGCAAGAUGAAUUCGUUUUGUGAAAAAUUUGUCUGGCGAAUCGUGGUUUCCCAUAGGAAUGCAUUGAAAUUCAAUUAAUGCAUUCCUAUGGGCAAAAAAAACCAAAAAAAACAAUGCAUUCCUAUGGGAUUCGCUAGACGAAUUUUUCGCAAAACGAAUUGACUCACAGAACGAAUUAAAUUCGUCUAGCAAGGCACCACUGUAUGCAGUAUAGAGCACCCUAGCACAAACUAUAGAAUCAUGCAUUUUAAGGAAGUACAACCACUACCGUAUUAUGAUUUUUAAAAUUAUAACUACUAUUAUGAUUUAGAAAUUAACAACAGCUCCAUUUGCAUGUUCCUGCCUAGUGGAGCGAGUGGGAAGGACAACCAUUUUGAAGAUAUUAUAUACAGUCGUACCUUGGAAGCCGAACGCCCUGGAACUCGGACGUUUUGGCUCCCAAGCACCGCAAACCUGGAAGUGAGUGUUCCGGUUUGUAAGCAUUCUUUGGAACCGGAAUGUCCGGCACAGCUUCCUGCAGCCAAUUGGAAGCCGUGCCUUGGUUUCCAAACGUUUGGGAAGUCAAACGGACUUCCGGAACGGAUUCCAUUUGACUUCUGAUGUACGACUGUAUUAUAUAUUAAAUUUAUAUACUGUCCUUCAUCCAAAGAUCACACAUGUUUACAGCAUAAAAACACAAAAUGCAUCACAUUUUAAGAUUUUAUUUUUUUUAAAAAAAAGCACGUUUAAAAAGCCAUAGGUUGUUUAAUAGCUUCCCCAUGAAGACACAUUCACUAGAGCCCCCUACUGGUUGGGAGCACCUGCCCUUUAGGCUCUUGUUGUUGACCGUAAAGGAAUCUGUAGGGAAGAAAAGGGCUGAAUUGUGCAAAGUGUGUAGGAGAGGGAAUGGGCGGGCCUCAUCCCCAGUGAGAAGAACAGCGGAGGCACUGAAGCAGGAUGGAAUCGUCUGGGCUGGGGCUGGGCGUGGUACAAGCAGGAAAAUGCCGCGGGAUAGUCUUUAAUGAAGCGCGAGUGGCCAGGGCCGGGCUGCGUGUUUCAUGGGUGAAUCAUCACAAGUGGGAGGCCUUGGCAUGAGUUAUGGGGUAGGCUUCCGUGGUGGCUAUGCAGGCACAACCACGUUCCCAGCCUUGGCCUGCUGGAAUCAGAAGACACAUACAGAAGCUUCAGCAUCCGACAGACUGGGGAAGUCAAAAGAAAUGUGGAAAUCCAUGCUUUUUCCUCCACAUAUGCAGUUUCUGAGCAUAUUCAGCCACAUAGAUGUCCUCACCGCCAUAUAUUUCUCCUCAUCUAUUGUAACUCAGCAUCACACUCUCAAAAUGCUAUGAUAUUCAGAAUUACAAAAUCCAAACAGCAUCGUUUUGGCCUAAAAAAAAAAAAAGUUAGGGAGAAAAACUCCAGCGUGGGUUGAUAUUCUGUUUAUGUACUCAGUGCAGUCCCCUAACCUCUUCACAUAAUGUGAAAACAGAUACUGUACUUAUUAAGCAGGUGAAGGUGGGUAUUACAUGUGUAGCAAUGAACUUGAUCACCAACCUAAACCCUCCCACCAGCCUGCUCCACUUGUCUAUAGCAUGGAUAUGGCUCCUGGUGCCCUCCAGAUGUUGUUGGACCACAAUUCCCAUCAUCCUUGUUGGCCAUGCUGGAUGGGGCUGAUGGGAGUUGUAGGCUAAUAACACCUGGAAGGCAACAGGCUCCCCACCCCUGACCUAAAGCAUUAGCCAUGUCCUGCCACAAAAACAGUCUCUUGCCCCAAAUCUAAAUUUUCAUGGUGUGGUUAGUAAAGAUCCUUAGAAUGACCCAUUGCCAUCCAGGGUCCUGCAUUAUGCACCUGUAGCAGUAAAUGCUGGUGGGGAGGGGCCUGUAGAAAAACAGGUACAGUCAUACCUUGGAAGUUGAACGGAAUCCGUUCUGGAAGUCUGUUCAACUUCCAAAACGUUUGGAAACUAAAGUGCGACUUCUGGUUGGCUGCAGGAAGCUUUUGCAGCCAAUCGGAAGCAGCGGGAGCCCCGUCAGACGUUCAGCUUCCAAAAGCAGUUCGCAAACUGGAACAGUCACUUCCAGGUUUGCAGUGUUCGGGAGCCAAAACAUUCGAGAAUGAAGCUGUUCGAAAACCAAGUUACAACUGUAUAAUGUGUGGCCUUUAUGCCUUGAACCAGGUUGAUAGAAAUAAAAAGUAAAUUGCAAGAACUCGGGCCAGGAGGAAGAUGAAUUUCAAGUGAAUCUUCAAAAGGUUUUAUUUAUGUAAUGAAGAAUUCAAAUAGGAAUCAAUUCCAGUAUAAUAGGCAAAUAAAAAUGAAUUCCAGUGAGAAAAUCCCAGGACAAGGCCCUGUUUCGACAAUUCUUCGUCAGCAAUGUUUUAAUGGUCAGAGUGUACCAAGUAUGAACCAUGUUGAUGGCUCUUGUCUCCAGUUCCCAUUUGUACCUUGGGGCCCAACCUAGAUAUAGCAUCAGUUGUGUGAAUGUAGUUAACAUGCACACUUUCUGUAAUGUAAAUCCUAAUAGAAGCCAUUCGGGUGGUGGGGAGAGAGUGAAAUUAACCCUUUCUGCCCUGCCAUGGUCAUGAUGACAGUUUGUCUUAUUUCUACUGGCAUGAUGAAUGGGAUCAGACUGUGCAUUAGAAAACAACAAAACUUUCUGAUGAGUUGGUAGUGGUUAGAGGGCAGUUGGAACCAUCUUGUUGACAUGAAGAGAACAAGGCUGCUCUGCCCUGGGCAGAGGGUGUGGUGGGUGGGGAUAAUGGCAAAGUCCUUUUUGUAUUUAGCUCCUUCUCUUUGUCCCUGUUGUUAUCCAAGGUGGGGCCAGCAUCAAAGCCCUGGACAACUCUCAGCCAAGUUCUUUGGAGGGCUGAACUGCCGUCUUGGGACUAUGCAAUAAAUGUUGGGGUAUAUAUUUUUAUAUCAACUGGGCUAUAGAAGCAGGCUGCGUUGAGCACUUUGUCCCUGUGUCUUCUCCUGGGAAUGGUGGUGUGGGGCGGGAAUGGGCAAUGCAGGCUUUGCUCCCCCUGUCACAGUGCUCCCUUCGCCCACAGCUCCUUACAAGUGUGCUCCCUGCAGGAGAUUCGUGGGGGAUCCUUGCCUUCCUGUGUGCCACGCUCUGGAACCUGCCGGUGGUGCCUGCACUGAACAGCACGGACCAAGUGACUACCACCAGACAAUCCAUCCAGCAGACGUACGACCUCACUCGCUACCUGGAACACCAGCUGCACUCGCUUGCGGCUACUUAUCUCAGCUACCUGGGGCCACCUUUCAAUGAGCCAGACUUUGAUCCUCCCCGGCUAAUCGGGGCAGAGGCUGUGCCCAGCGCCACCGUGGACUUUCAGGAAUGGCACAGCCUGAAUGACAAUGCCCGGCUGGCAGCCAACUACCAGGCCUACAGCCACCUGCUGUGCUACCUGAGCACCAUGGAUGGGAAAUCCCCAGUCGCCAUGCCCACCCUGCGUCACAGCCUCGCACACUUCCGCGCCAGCCUGCAAGGGCUGCUGGGCUCCAUCGCCGGCAUCAUGGCUUCCCUGGGCUACCAGCUUCCGCCGACGCCGACGGACGGUAGGCCUCCGCUCCGCAGCCAGUUCCUGCGCAAGAUGGACGAGUUUUGGCUGCUCAAGGAGCUGCAGACCUGGCUGUGGCGCUCGGCCAAGGACUUCAACAGGCUGCGCAAGAGGGUGCCGCCUUCUGCUGUUAUGCUGCACCUCGAGAGCAGGGGCUUCUGAGCCCUGCCCUUCACCAGCCUCUCUGCCUUCGCCUCAUCCACUGACGUCAUACCCGCCCCUCAAGGCCAAGGGCUUUCCAGAGCCUCCCCCCAAAAAAUCCACAGCCUGCCUGCCCCUCUCCACCUCCAACCCACCUCCAACCUGACUCCUGCUGCCACACCUUCAUGGUGCUGCACUGCUCUCUAUUAUGAAGCCGUGCCUCUAGUGGUCAACUCAAGAGGCUCCCCUAUCAUUCAUCAAAGCCAAAAGCUGCAGCAGAGUUGCCCACGACAGGGCCAUCUUGCCAGCCAGCCCAAGCAGUGGUCUCCGCCUGCCUGUACCUCUCCCUCCCCGCUGUGGCAGGCAGGCCUAGUGAGGCUGUGCGGUUUACUGUCACCAGCAAAGGACAUGGGGAGGAGUUUCCCAUAGGUGGCCCAGUCCAUAGGUCUCUCCCCCCACCCCCACUGUCAGGUUGAGUUAUUCUCAGUUUGUCUGUAUUAAUAUUUAUUUAUUUUCAGAUGUUAUUUAUUAGAUUGUAUUUAUUGCAGAAUUUCUAUUCUUGUAUUAACAAAUAAAAGGCUUUCUCCAGGA
Molecule: non-coding RNA, 5305 nt
Organism: Zootoca vivipara (common lizard)
Lineage: Eukaryota; Metazoa; Chordata; Lepidosauria; Squamata; Lacertidae
Source: RefSeq, a predicted model, not a curated record